This 215-nucleotide unclassified non-coding RNA is filed under the name Hevea brasiliensis (rubber tree). The record is from RNAcentral. Lineage: Eukaryota; Viridiplantae; Streptophyta; Magnoliopsida; Malpighiales; Euphorbiaceae.
GAGAAAGAGAGAGAAUUUGGGGAUAUGUAGGAUAUACUGAUUUUGUGGAUAUGUGAAAAGUGUUGCAAGUUGAAUAUUUACAAACCUAGGGGUGAGCCUAAAUCUAAUUAACUUACGAAUUUUAUUUACAAAAGGAUAUAAAUUUUCUGUACAAAAUUGUUUAGUCUAGCUUAGUCAAAUGAUUGAGAAUAUAUCCAAUUAUUAGAUUCUUCCAU